GAUGAAGAACGCAGUGAAAUGCGAUAAGUAAUGUGAAUUGCAGAAUUCAGUGAAUCAUCGAAUCUUUGAACGCACAUUGCGCCCUCUGGUAUUCCGGGGGGCAUGCCUGUUCGAGCGUCAUUAUAACCACUCAAGCUCUCGCUUGGUAUUGGGGUUCGCGGUUCCGCGGCCCCUAAAAUCAGUGGCGGUGCCUGUCGGCUCUACGCGUAGUAAUACUCCUCGCGAUUGAGCCCGGUAGGUCUACUUGCCAGCAACCCCCAAUUUUUACAGGUUGACCUCGGAUCAGGUAGGGAUACCCGCUGAACUUAAGCAUAUCAAUAAGCGGAGGA
This 329-nucleotide unclassified non-coding RNA is filed under the name soil metagenome. RNAcentral describes it as "partial contains 5.8S ribosomal RNA, internal transcribed spacer 2, and large subunit ribosomal RNA". The stretch from base 1 to 120 matches the Rfam family "5.8S ribosomal RNA", at positions 35 to 154 of the family's 154-position model. The record is from RNAcentral.